Molecule: long non-coding RNA, 292 nt
Filed under: Phoenix dactylifera (date palm)
Lineage: Eukaryota; Viridiplantae; Streptophyta; Magnoliopsida; Arecales; Arecaceae
Description: long non-coding RNA (PDAC_LNC018994)
Source: RNAcentral
GCUGCAAAAAAACAUCAAUAUCAUUACCUGGGCCCUUAUCACCUGGAAUAACCAUUGACAAAAUGAGUGAAGACUGUUUCAUACACAUCCAUGGUGGUAAAUUAUAUGGAACCAAAACAACCGGCCAAGUGCUGUAUGUAGAACUCAUAGUUCGAAAGGGAUUAAACCCAUCAGUAGCCAAACCCAGUCUGACACUGCGAGCAUCAGAAGCAAAAUUCGUGAUGCCUAUCAUCAAAUGCUUUCCAUGCUAAACUAUCUGCUGGGUGUCGUAACAUUCCAUCUUUUGUACGGC